ACGAACUGUGCAAACGUUAUUCGGAAUCACUGGGCUUAAAGGGUGCGUAGGCGGACUUGUAGGUCAGGUGUGAAAUCCCACGGCUCAACCGUGGAAUUGCGCUUGAAACCACUCGUCUUGAGGGGAUCAGAGGAGAGCGGAACUGAUGGUGGAGCGGUGAAAUGCGUUGAUAUUAUCAGGAACACCGGUGGCGAAAGCGGCUCUCUGGGAUCCUUCUGACGCUGAGGCACGAAAGCUAGGGGAGCGAACGGG
This 252-nucleotide ribosomal RNA is filed under the name uncultured bacterium. RNAcentral's name for it is "partial 16S ribosomal RNA". It matches the Rfam family "Bacterial small subunit ribosomal RNA", at positions 525 to 776 of the family's 1533-position model. The record is from RNAcentral.